UUGCUUCUCUUGAGAGCGGCGGACGGGUGAGUAAUGCCUAGGAAUCUGCCUGGUAGUGGGGGAUAACGUUCGGAAACGGACGCUAAUACCGCAUACGUCCUACGGGAGAAAGCAGGGGACCUUCGGGCCUUGCGCUAUCAGAUGAGCCUAGGUCGGAUUAGCUAGUUGGUGAGGUAAUGGCUCACCAAGGCGACGAUCCGUAACUGGUCUGAGAGGAUGAUCAGUCACACUGGAACUGAGACACGGUCCAGACUCCUACGGGAGGCAGCAGUGGGGAAUAUUGGACAAUGGGCGAAAGCCUGAUCCAGCCAUGCCGCGUGUGUGAAGAAGGUCUUCGGAUUGUAAAGCACUUUAAGUUGGGAGGAAGGGCAGUUACCUAAUACGUGAUUGUUUUGACGUUACCGACAGAAUAAGCACCGGCUAACUCUGUGCCAGCAGCCGCGGUAAUACAGAGGGUGCAAGCGUUAAUCGGAAUUA
Molecule: ribosomal RNA, 477 nt
Filed under: Pseudomonas veronii
Lineage: Bacteria; Pseudomonadati; Pseudomonadota; Gammaproteobacteria; Pseudomonadales; Pseudomonadaceae
Description: bacterial SSU rRNA
Rfam family: Bacterial small subunit ribosomal RNA
Source: RNAcentral